UACGGGGGAUGCAAGCGUUAUCCGGAUUUAUUGGGUUUAAAGGGUGCGUAGGCUGUGAGGUAAGUCAGCGGUGAAAUGCCCCCGCUCAACGGGGUGAAGUGCCAUUGAUACUGCCUUGCUGGAAUGCGGAUGCCGUGGGAGGAAUGUGUGGUGUAGCGGUGAAAUGCAUAGAUAUCACACAGAACACCGAUUGCGAAGACAUCUCACGAAUCCGCGAUUGACGCUGAUGCACGAAAGCGUGGGUAUCAAACAGG
Molecule: ribosomal RNA, 254 nt
Filed under: uncultured bacterium
Lineage: Bacteria
Description: partial 16S ribosomal RNA
Rfam family: Bacterial small subunit ribosomal RNA
Source: RNAcentral